Acanthosepion pharaonis is the source of this 88-nucleotide non-coding RNA. NCBI's taxonomy places the organism in Eukaryota, Metazoa, Mollusca, Cephalopoda, Sepiida, Sepiidae. The record is from the annotation of a GenBank genome assembly.
AGUUUUCAUAUGAUCACUGAAGUUAAGCAAAGUUGAGCCUGGUCAGUACCUAAAUGGGUGACCACUUGGGAAUACUAGGUGCUGUAAG